Long non-coding RNA from Perca fluviatilis (European perch), 1490 nucleotides. RefSeq lists it as uncharacterized. The record is from RefSeq and is a predicted model, not a curated record. The transcript is spliced from 3 exons. Lineage: Eukaryota; Metazoa; Chordata; Actinopteri; Perciformes; Percidae.
AAGUCAGGUAGAGCUACGUAACGUCAAAGACAGGUAGAGCUACGUUAAAGUCAGGUAGAGCUACGUAACGUUAAAGACAGGUAGAGCUACGUUAAAGUCAGGUAGAGCUACGUAACGUUAAAGACAGGUAGAGCAACGUUAAAGACAGGUAGAGCAACGUUAAAGACAGGUAGAGCAACGUUAAAGACAGGUAGAGCAACGUUAAAGACAGGUAGAGCAACGUUAAAGACAGGUAGAGCAAAGACAGGUAGAGCAACGUUAAAGACAGGUAGAGCUACGUAACGUUAAAGACAGGUAGAGCUACAUUAAAGACAGGUAGAGCUACGUAACGUUAAAGACAGGUAGAGCAGCGUAACCGGUAGAGCUACGUAACGUUAAAGUCAGGUAGAGCUACGUGACGUUAAAGACAGGCAGAGCUACGUAACGUUAAAGUCAGGUAGAGCUACGUAACGUCAAAGACAGGUAGAGCUACGUAACGUCAAAGACAGGUAGAGCUACGUGACGUUAAAGACAGGCAGAGCUACGUAACGUUAAAGUCAGGUAGAGCUACGUUAAAGUCAGGUAGAGCUACGUAACGUCAAAGACAGGUAGAGCUACGUAACGUCAAAGACAGGUAGAGCUACGUGACGUUAAAGACAGGCAGAGCUACGUAACGUUAAAGUCAGGUAGAGCUACGUUAAAGUCAGGUAGAGCUAUGUAACGUUAAAGUCAGGUAGAGCUACGUAACGUUAAAGUCAGGUAGAGCUACGUAACGUUAAAGACAGGUAGAGCUACGUAACGUUAAAGACAGGUAGAGCAACGUUAAAGACAGGUAGAGCAACGUUAAAGACAGGUAGAGCAACGUUAAAGACAGUUAGAGCUACGUAACGUUAAAGACAGGUAGAGCUACGUAACGUUAAAGACAGGUAGAGCUACAUUAAAGACAGGUAGAGCUACGUAACGUUAAAGACAGGUAGAGCUACGUUAAAGUCAGGUAGAGCUACGUAACGUUAAAGACAGGUAGAGCAACGUUAAAGACAGGUAGAGCAAAGACAGGUAGAGCAACGUUAAAGACAGGUAGAGCUACGUAACGUUAAAGACAGGUAGAGCAGCGUAACCGGUAGAGCUACGUAACGUUAAAGUCAGGUAGAGCUACGUGACGUUAAAGACAGGCAGAGCUACGUAACGUUAAAGUCAGGUAGAGCUACGUUAAAGUCAGGUAGAGCUAUGUAACGUUAAAGUCAGGUAGAGCUACGUAACGUUAAAGUCAGGUAGAGCUACGUAACGUCAAAGACAGGUAGAGCUACGUGACGUUGAAGACAGGCAGAGCUACGUAACGUUAAAGUCAGGUAGAGCUACGUUAAAGUCAGGUAGAGCUACGUAACGUCAAAGACAGGUAGAGCUACGUAACGUCAAAGACAGGUAGAGCUACGUGACGUUAAAGACAGGCAGAGCUACGUAACGUUAAAGUCAGGUAGAGCUACGUUAAAGUCAGGUAGAGCUAUGUAACG